RNAcentral lists this long non-coding RNA (221 nucleotides) under Capsicum annuum. RNAcentral describes it as "long non-coding RNA (CANN_LNC007224)". The record is from RNAcentral. Lineage: Eukaryota; Viridiplantae; Streptophyta; Magnoliopsida; Solanales; Solanaceae.
UCAUUAUUGCUUUCCACUCUGGAAGAAGGUAGUCUGUCUCGGGGUUUUAGGACCUUCCACAUGCCAUUUACCCCCUUUCAAAUCUUACUGAAGAAUUUAUCCCUCUUCUUUUCCCUAUUCUCCAUCCUAUCAUGUGGAGCUCGGAUCUCUCUAUAAGACUCUGCCAAAGAUGAGUAGGCUAACUUAAGCCUAGAAAUGGUAGCUCCUUAUGUCUUCUGGUC